GACGAACGCUGGCGGCGUGCUUAACACAUGCAAGUCGAACGGAAAGGCCCUGCUUUUGUGGGGUGCUCGAGUGGCGAACGGGUGAGUAACACGUGAGUAACCUGCCCUUGACUUUGGGAUAACUUCAGGAAACUGGGGCUAAUACCGGAUAGGAGCUCCUGCUGCAUGGUGGGGGUUGGAAAGUUUCGGCGGUUGGGGAUGGACUCGCGGCUUAUCAGCUUGUUGGUGGGGUAGUGGCUUACCAAGGCUUUGACGGGUAGCCGGCCUGAGAGGGCGACCGGCCACAUUGGGACUGAGAUACGGCCCAGACUCCUACGGGAGGCAGCAGUGGGGAAUAUUGCACAAUGGGCGGAAGCCUGAUGCAGCAACGCCGCGUGCGGGAUGACGGCCUUCGGGUUGCAAACCGCUUUCGCCUGUGACGAAGCGUGAGUGACGGUAAUGGGUAAAGAAGCACCGGCUAACUACGUG
RNAcentral lists this ribosomal RNA (468 nucleotides) under uncultured bacterium. RNAcentral describes it as "partial 16S ribosomal RNA". It matches the Rfam family "Bacterial small subunit ribosomal RNA", at positions 28 to 507 of the family's 1533-position model. The record is from RNAcentral.